Molecule: long non-coding RNA, 13586 nt
Organism: Sapajus apella (tufted capuchin)
Lineage: Eukaryota; Metazoa; Chordata; Mammalia; Primates; Cebidae
Exons: 2
Source: RefSeq, a predicted model, not a curated record
CCUGAUCUCAGGUGAUCCGUCUGCCUCAGCCUCCCAAAGUGCUGGGAUUACAGGUGUGAGGCACCACACCCAGCCCUAUCUGUUUUAAACAAAUAAUUUAUUGGCAGAUUGUCCAUGGUUGAGCAUAACAAAAACACCUUGUUGAAAGACAAGCUUAGGUAACUGCUAGCAAAACACUGGGUGCACUAUUUUUCUGGAUAAAAUUUAUACUUACUUUCUAUAUUACCCUUCAAAAGGGAUCUCUUCAGGUUAAAAAUCACAUUUAUGCUGAAGUCUUUAUUUGGGGGUUAACUAAAAAUCUCAUAUGGGUUCAUAACUGAAGUUACUAAUAAUUUAUUUUUAUCACUUGUAAAAAUUUGCUCAAAAUUUCAAAAAAUAUUGAUUUGUUUUUUAAUGAUUUUGCAGGCUGACUUCCAACCUAAAUUUUGAUAACAUCCAGUAAGUCAGUAUAGUUCUAUGACUUCAUGUUUUAACUAAGAAGGAAAAUUCAUAGAUAUUCCUAUUAGCUUUUAUAAAACUUCAAAAGUCUCAAACUUAAGUUUGAGUCUAAAUUUUCUGACACUGGCCCUUUUUAAUAUUGUAAGUUUUUGUUCACUUUCUUAAGUAAAAAGCAUUUAAUUACUAUUUAGCCUUUAAAUGGGAAACUCAGGUAAUGAACUGCUGACUUUUCUAAAGUUCUUUAACUGAUCAUUUCACUAUAGAGGGAUAUUUACCUAAUCACUUUCUGUAUUUUGCAAGUGCUCUUUCUAAAAAGGAAUGACUAUUAUAGCUCUGUUUCCCCAAUCUCUAUAGGAUUCAUGAAAAAUUGCUUUGUAUAAAUAUAAAAGCACCAUAUGUGUUCUUAUCUCCUAUGGCUGCUUGAAGCUCAUGGUGGAUAAGCCUUUUGGUCAGUUUUAAUUGUUAAGUACAGAACAAACAAUUGUUUGGUGAUGGUCAGGUUGAAAGAGAGCAUAUAAGUAUAUCCCAGUGGAACUCACCAAAGAAGACCACACCUCAGAAACUACUGCAUUUUCUUGUUUUGUGUUGGGUUUGAUUUGCUUUUGUUUUGAAUACCAGCUCUUUUAAUAUAAAGAUUCUUGGUACAGUGAAAUCUCGUAUUUCAAGUGUUAUUCUUCACCCACCUCUUCCCCUGCCAUUGUAUUUCCCAGCUAUUUCAAGGAGUUUUAACAAUUUACAUUGCAUAUUAUGCAGUAGGUACUGCUUUUUCAGAAAGGCUUGGAAAACAUACCUGCUAUAAGUAAUUUGUUCAGAUGUAGCCAUUUACCUGGCUCUCAAGUCGUCUUUAUGGAGCGGGUCUUUGACAAAAAUCUUCCUUGUUUGCUUGGGAUAAGUGAAGUCCAAAUUCUUACAAUAUGCUAUUCAGGAUUUCUGAUAUUUAAAAAGAGAAGACAAAAUCUUUAUAUCCCUUAUUGACACUUUCCUCAAGAAGGGUUGUGCUAUUAUUUAUUUUUAUUUUCUAUUAUAAGAAAAGUCCAUCCUUUAAGUAGUUUUUUUUACCCUCUAAUUUCAUACCAAAUACCUGAUCAAUGGAAAUGAUAUAUUUAUUUAAGCAGCAGACAUUCCUGAUCCAUCAUAUGAAAAGUGCCAGCAAUAAUUAGUUGGGAACAGAUAAGAUCAAUUUCAAUAUAAUUCUACUUUGUUUUUAGAUACUAAAUUAAGAUUCAAUUAACAUUCUCCUAUGAAUUCUGAAUGUGAUAAUGUGAUUCAAACAGUCGUAUUUUUAGUAGGAUCUUAGUAACUCAGGAUAGCAUUCCAUACUAACCUCAAGUUAGCAAAACAAAUUAGCAAAACAGCUUGGUUGUCAGUGAGGAGGCUGCCUAAAAGAUCAAGAAGAUUUUCUCUUUUCUUUCUAUUUAGAAACAUUGCAAGAAAACUUGGAUAGUCUUCACCAGACCUGCCAUGAUUUUUUGAGAUUUAGGCCUCAGUGACAUGCUACUGGAAGUUUCCUGCCAGCCUUCCAAACUAAGCAUCCACUCUUCCAUCUUCCCGAAGUCACUCACCAAUAAAGGUAGCAUCUUUAAGUUCAUUUUUGAGAGGUAAAGGAGGGUCUCUCCCUGACCAAAGGAAUUUUUUUUUUAUCAGAAUACCUUGAAAAGUGGAUAUAUAAAUUUGGAAAACUUAAUUUCUUGACCGUGUUCAAUAACAGUUUCUAUGCAUGGUUUUUAAUGUGAUGUAAAUGUGUUUCUUCACUCCCCCCACCUCAUUCUGCCUCUUUAAUGAAUAUUUUUAUUGGAGUUCAAACUCCAUGCCUUAUGUGCUCACUCAGUUUUCUUUUUGACCCUGUUUACUCUGUCUGUAUGUAUUCAGAUUGUGUCAAAUGCUGGCAGAACCUCUAAAACAGUCAAGAAAAUGCUUGAAAGUUGAUUUGUCAUAGUGUAAAUUCAUGAUAAAAUGUCUUAAUGUUAUUUGGAUAUGUAGUACAUAGAAACAGAAAAAUAAAGUAGUUUUUUGUAACUUAAAAUAGAGAUUUGUCCCUUUCUUACUCAUUUUUAGGAAUCAUGUUUAUCGUUUGCAUUUCUUAAACUAUUACUAAGGCUCCCUUUUCUCUGCAGGAAGUAAGCUGCAUGCAUUCUUUCACUUUGUGUUGAGCUAGUUUCUGUAAUUGUGACUAAUUAUUUCCUUCCUUAAUUCACUCUACUGUAUCUACCUAAGGUGCCCCUGGAGUUUCAUUUGAGUAAUUAGUGCCUUAAUAUGUAAUCUGGAGUGCAAUUUCUGUGCAUUUGCCAGAUCAGAUUGUACAUUGGCUGUCCAGCUCAGCUUUCAGUAAAUAGUCUUAUAGUAAUGACUGUGAUUACUUAAAGGUAUCAGAAUGAUGCUGCACAGCAAGGAGGCCUCCUCUAAUUAACCACAUUCACUCCAGGUUUAGGGAAGCCCUCUACAAGGAAACUUUGUGACCUCUUAUGCAUAAGAAAUGAUGGGUAAUUUUCAAAGCUAAAUUUUCACUUUACAUAUAUUUUAAUAGUGUUUAUUUUAUUGAUAAUCAGCCCUCUGGAGAAGAAUUGUUGAUAAGGAAGGGUGGUGAGUGUGAUGGGGGAGGCUAUGUAAAUGUGAGUAGCAGAAAUUAGAAGAGAUAGUGUGAGAGCUCUGGAGAAAUUCUGGAAUGCAAUAGAUUAGAGACAUCUGGCGAUUUCAGUGCAAUCUGCACAUAUAGAAAAAAAACUCUGCCCACUGCCAUUCUCCACCGUCCUAUCUUCUAGUCUUUUCAUUUAUAUAGAGUAUUGAGAUAAACUCUGAAAAUUUUAAAUUGAUUCAGUUAUUAGUUAUUAUUAGCUAGUAACAUAAGCGUUUUGUUUGGGUGAAGAAGUGAAUGCAUAGAAAGGAAGUCAUUGAAGUUCAUUUGAGACUCAGUGGAGCAUUUACACUGUCAGAACACAAGGCCCACAUAUUUCUGAAUGUAACUUUGAACCUCAUCCUGAAUAUCCAAGUAGGCAAAAAGUGAAAGCUGUUCAUUAGAUACGUAAUUUUGUGUAAGUAUGGAUAUUUGACUGCAGACUAUACUGUAGAUUUCACAUUUAAACAUAUUUGAACACAUUUCAGUCCAAAUAAAUAGUUAUAUGAUCAGGCAUAUCAUAAGUGAUAGAAUAUUUUCAGUUUGAAUAUUUUGCAUAAAAGAUACAAGGUAGGCAAUUAUAUUAUCAAACAUGUAAACCAAAUUGGCCAUUCUGAUUAUUCAGGGAUUCGGGGAUUUUUCUGUUAUAAAGUUUGAGAACAAGUAGAAAAUGGGCUUUCUCCUUAUUUUUUAAUCCUUUACACAAUUAAUUUUAUUUCAACUUGAGUUACAUCUAGACUUCUUCCAUUAAAAAAAAAUACUGUUUGGUUCAAUUCUUAUCAGGUAACAGACAUCUCAGGAAAAGUGAAAGAAAACAGGCAACCUCUAAGUUUUACAUUUUUUAUCUCCUCCACAGUUCUUCUAAUUAAAAAAAAAAAAAAAAAACUCCCCAGAAGUGUUGCUGAUAUGGCAAAAAAUAUAUAGCAUUUCUUCACUUUGGAUUGGGAAGGUUCUUGGGAUUUUAUGGUAAUUUAAUAUAGACUAUGUGUGACAAUUUUGUUAAAAUCAUACUCUAAUAUUCGGACAGCUUUGGACAUCUUAAGAUGACUUAGUCCAAGAAUAAUGAAAACCUGUGCAAAAAUGUGAAGAGGUACUCCCUAUGCAUUCGAGCAGUAAAUGUCCAUAAGCUUAUGAGUUCUGUUCAUGUCUAUUGAGCUGUAUGAAUAAAUUAUAUUUUAGUAAUUUAAAUUUCUUUAUGAAAAUUAGUUUUCAGAGUUGCCACUCUCAACAAAAUUCUAAAAGGCUAUGUACAACAAUGAUCUCUAAAUAAAAACCAAGUUUUAUUUCAUGGGUACAUGGCUUUUCUGUGACCCUUUCCAACAGGAAGUCAGUUUGUUCAAAAUUAGAAGACUGUUUUUUCUUAACUCUCCCCAGUUGUAGCCUCUGGUGGUGUGACUCAUAGACUUCCCUGGUAAUCACACUUUGAACCUUAACAAUAAGAGCAUGCUAACAGAUUUAGUAGUUUUAUGCAUCUAGAAACAAAGACAGGAUGUUGACAGCCUUUAGUGAUGAAGUAUUUAAAAUAAAUUCAUACUUGUAAAAUUGAAAACUAGAGAUUCAGCUUUAGUAAAAACAAUGUAAUCUAAACAUUUAGCUACGUAAAUAUUUUCUUAAGUCCAGAUAACCUCUCAAAGAAACUGAUUUCGUCCGGUGAGGUGGUGAGUGCCUGUAGUCCCAGCUCCUCGGGGGGCUGAGGUGGGAGGAUCGCUUGAGCCCAGGAGCUCUGGGCUGUAGUGCGCUAUGCCAAUCGGGUGUCUGCACCAAGUUCAGCAUCAAUAUGGUGACAACCCCGUUUCUUAAAAAAAAAGAAAACAAGAAAAGAAACUGAUUUCAUGUCAAAUGGGAAAUACAAAGAAUGUCAGAUUAAAAACAUGGUUUAUAUUAAAUAAGGCUGUCAUUUGUUGGGAGGUAAGGAGAGAAUGGAGCUUAGAAAGCAGCCUCCUGAUAAAGGGUGUUUAACACACUUUCUAAAAUUUAGGAUGAUUUGUUGCCCUUCAAAUCCUACCAACUUUAAAAUAAUCAAAUCUCAAGCACAGCAAACCAGCUAGGUAAUUAUUUCCGGGUAACUUUCCCUAACUCAGAAACUGCUAAUGACUACUAAGUGCUUCAGUUAUAAAUCUGACCAAGAACUUGCAUCAAAAAGGCCAGAAAGUUAAUUUCAAAAUCUUACGGGAAAAACUGAUAAUGACGUUCUCCAUCCCCCCCCACCUCAUUAUUUCCCCACUCUCUGAACCAUAUCCUGUGUGAACAUUCUUAAUAGCAGUGUACUACACUUUGUAAGACAAAAGUUGAAUUCUGGGUUGUUUUCAAAUGUUUAGAAUCAUAUUUUUUUCUCAUGUGUACAGGGAGGAAAAAAACAUUAUACAAAAAUUUAUCCAGGAUUCUACAAAUGCUUUAAGUAGAUUCAACAAUAAAGGAGUUAUACUUACUCUAUUUAUGUACUUUGAUCAGACAGGGGCACACAGAGUGUUGGAUAUUCAUAGAAAUGCCCUUUCUAUCAUCAGUUCUGUCCAUCCAAAUCCAAUCUAGGGCCCUGCAUGUAUUAAAAUCCGUUAGUUUUUUAAGAGUUUUCAAUACGUAUUUAGACUUUCUCUACACUUCCUACCUGCCUCAUUAUUUAAGGCACUUACCACUUGGAUUGUUUUAGGGCCUAUCAUAUCUUCCUUGCAAAGUUGGAGGCCCAUUGAGUGCAGAAACCAAGACUUCUUUAUCUCUAUAUUUCCUUGUGGUGUUUACCAUUGUAACUUGAACCCAGUUGGCUCUAAAACAAACCCAUAGAAUCAAUCAAAAUGCCUAACUCUAUUAGCUGAGGGCCUUGGAACGUGAGGGAACAUCAUCUCUGUUCAAAUUCAUUCCUAGGUACAUGAGUUUCUUAGGGCUGCCAUGACAAAGUACCCCAAACUGCAUGGCUUAAACAGAGAUUUAUUGUCUCAGUUGUAAAGCACCAUGUUUGCAACAGCAUUGGUUCCUUCCAAGGACUGUAAGGGAGAGUUUGUUCUGUCCCUCUCUCCUCUCUUUUGGUAGUUUGCUGGCAAUCAUUGAUGAUCCUUGACGUGUAGAUGCAUUACCUCCAUCUCUGCCUUUAUCUUCAUAUGGUAAUUCUCCCCGUGCCUAUCUAUCUCUAUGUCAAAAUGUCCCCUUUUUAUAAGAACAUAGCCAUACACCCUAAUGACUUCAUCUUAACUUGAUAAUCUGCUAGGACCCUGUUUUCAAAUAAGGUCAUAUUCGCAGGUCCUGAAAGGUAGGCCUCAACAUCUUUUAGGGGGACAGAAUUCAAUCCAUAACACUAGGUAAGAUUCUUCUCUUUCUUGAUGAAACUCUUAAACUCUAGGUUUAUUACAAACAGAGCCACUGAAGAGUAGUUAGUCCAGAGGUUUUCAAAUAUAGUGUUCUAAGAAGCUCUAACUCUCCAACAAAGUAUCUUGGAAGGACUUAGGGAGUGAACAGGGCUCCUGGUUUUAUAUCUGUUCCAAUUAAUAUUUCCAUGUAACAAGCCAGCCCAAAACUUAGUGGUGUAAAACAACCACAUUAUGACACUCAUAUUCUGUAGGUAAGAAAUUUGGCAUGGCAGAGACCUCUUAUUUAUGCUCCAUAAUGUGUGGGACGUCAGUUGGAAAGACUUGAUGGCUGGGAGCUUGAAUCAUCUGGAGGCAUCUUCACUCCCAUAUCUGGCAUCUGAUUCUAGCUGUUGGCAGGAACCUCAGCUGAGGCUAUCAGCCAGACUAGACCUUCCCAUGCAGCCUGGGCUUCCUCCCAGCAUGACAGCUGCAGGGUAGUCAGGCAUCUUACAUGAUAGCUUAAGGCUCCAAAGCAAGUAUUCCAAAAGACAAAAAGGAUGCUGCAUCAUCUUUAAUGGCCUAUCCUCUAAAGUCACAGACCUCACUUCUACCAUACUCUAUUAGUUAAAACAGUCAUAAAUCUUGCCCCAUGUUGGAGCAGAGGCAGAGAAGACAUAGAACCCACCUUUCAGUGGGAGAAGUGCCAGUGUCACAUCUUAAGAAUGUGUGUAACAGCAGCUAUGGUUGUAGCCAUCUAUGAAAAAUGCAAUCUGUCACAAGAUCUCACACCAAAUUAUUCAACCAUGGAGCAGCACUUCUAAAUGUUUUACAUGUAAGGACCGCUAACUCUUUAAUGUAUGGUAACAUUUAUAGAUAAGAACGAUAGGAUGCCUAGUAGCCAAGUAACACUCAUGAAUUUAAUACAAUCUUUCAGCAUAUCCAGUGAUUACUGUAGAAAAGCGGAAAAUUGACAAGCCGAGUAUUUUCAUUUCUCCUUUUCUUUAGGCAAGCUGGGAGAGCCUGGCAGAAAGCAUAUUAUGAAAUAACUGCAAGAAAGCCAUCAUUUCAUUUUAUUGCCUCUUUAAAAUCAUUAUCUUUUUGGUGGGAUUUCAAUGAGGCACUUUUACAAAAUUUGGUUGGCACUCAUGCGUCUCCUAGUGUAAGCCAAAAUUCCCUAAAUUGCUUAGAGACAGGUGGGCACAUACAGGCAAACACACCCCUUGUCUAUGACUUACACAAAUGAAAAAGAGGAAAUGUCUCAUCAGUCUCUGUGGUAAAAAUGUGCAGAGACCAGGGGUGGGGCCUUAGCCAACCCCCUGAGCUUCCGUUUUUAUCCCAGCACAGGAGUGUGCUCAGAGCCCUAGCUUCCUGCCAUCCCCAGCCUGACCCUAGUGAAGGUUACAAACCCUCCCAGCAACUGCAGGACAGGCAGCGAGAGCAGGUUUCUAGGCUUCUGCCUCCUUGCUUUGCAGCAACAUGCUCAGUUAGGUCACAUCAUUAUUCUAGAUCAGGAAGAACAUUUGGGUUGGAAAAAGUUUUCUAGGAAAUAAUUACUCAUGAGCAAAGGGACCAGAAAAGUCCCAGAGAUGUUCUCCAGCAGACAAUUUAAACUAAUGACUCGCUGCUGGGCGGCCUGCCCUAUAAUGACUGAUAUAAACCAUGUCUAUGUAAUGCUGUAUUAAGAUCUCCCACCAGCCUCCUAAAUCUCCAAACCAAUUCAUUGAGGGCUUGCCUCACUCAUGUUUAAUCUUGUAAAAUCCACCAACACAUUUUGCUUGUUCAGAAAGAAUAUUUAAUAGUUAUGAUCAUCCAUGAUAAUGUUGUAGUGCAGAUGUUGAACUGGAAUCUGUAUGUCCCUUAAGAUUUAGAUGAAAUUGGCCGUACCCCAAGUCCACUGCCCUCUCUAAGGUUUCAUAAAUUUCCAGUGUGUUUACAUUUUCAGACCACUGACUCUGAGCCUCUGUCUCUACGGAACGUCUUCCAUUCAUCAGCUUACCAUUGCUUAGGUUAGAUCUCCAUUCUAGAGUUUGAUCCCUGUUCUACCCCUCUUAAAGCCACUGCCCUCUUCCUGGAUUUCCCCCAACACUCACGCACCAGGUUUUUGUGCAUUUAGAGACUUUAAUGAAGGUUUGGAGGGACAGCUGAGCCUUCAUGAGAGCAGUGCAAGCUACUCUAAAACCCCAUGUUUGUAAAAGCCACCCCCAACUUCCCUCUCCCAGCCCUCCCGUCUUUUUCUCUGCUCCACAACCUCAUCUCAGGUUCCUCACUUCUGGCAGAGGGCCCUCUCACCUUCUUGUUUCCUGGUCUCUCAUUCUCCACUUCCUCACUCUCACCCCCGCCCCCUCACAGCUGACCCAAGUGUUUCUCUACACACUUCCAUCCUGUAGAGGGGAUUCUGGCAUCUGCUACCCAAGUUGCUGCUUCUUGCUGUCUUUCACAGUCUUCCUCUUCUGCCCUCUGAAUAAGCCAAAUCUUCAAGCUUACCCCUCAGCCUGUUGUCCCCCUUUGCCCUAACCCCAGCACUUGGUGGCCUCAUUUACCUUUCUGUGGCAUCUCCUGGAUCUCUACUUCCAGUCAGCAUCUCUUUUCCACCUCCCACCUCCAACUGCCUUCUGGACAUUUCCUCCUGUCCUGUCAUCUCAAGCUUCAUGUGUUUAAAAGCAAACCUCUUCUAGGCACAACUCUCAAAUUGGCAACUGCCUCCUAAAUAAUCUCAUCAUCAGCUGCUCCCCCUCCAUGCUAGACUCUCUCUUCUUCACAGCUAGACUACUGUUCUCAACUGUAACUCUGACCUUAUUGCUCCUUUGCUCAAAAACCUUCCCAGUGACUUCUUGAUAUUGCCUGUGGACCUUACCCUGACUUUCAAGGUGGACCACAAGAUAGGCCUGACCUGCCUUUCCAGCACAAGCCCUGGAGUCCAAAAGGAGUUCCAAUUCAUGCUAUCCAUUUGCCUGAUGCAUGACUUUGGGCAAGUUCAUUUAAACUCUCCAGCCUCUGUUUAUAUGAAAGAUAACCAUAUAUUGACCCUUCCCAGAAAGUACUAAAAUGUCUUGAUGCUGGUCCCACCCUCAGCCAAGUACCUGAUUAGCUAUAUCAUGGAACAGUUAGGUGGGCUGUGAGAAGAACUGAGUGGAGUUGGGGGAAGAUGGUUCGUUCUCCUUUCUCUGAAGUUCAGAUGUUGACAGGUAGCUGAAAUUAUAGGCACUAAGGGCCAGAGCCAAAACUUUGGCUUACAUCAGAGAAUCUGAGCCUGGGAGGCCCUGAUGUAACGCAUGGCCAUUACACAUUCGGUCCAGAGUUUACAUCCCAUCUCUGCCACUUUCUGCAUGUGUGUUUUGGAGCAAAUCACUUAGUUCCUCAAGCUACUCCCUCCUCAUCUGCAAAAUGGAAACCUAUUCUAAAAGUUCCUGUGAGGAUCAGCGGUCUGAGGUAUGUGAUGUGCCUAGCUCAGUGCUUGCACUCAGAAAACUUGCUAGUCUCAUGAUGACUAUAGUCUGAGCUCCAUCUCUGGAUAAUAUAAAAUUACCUACAAUACUGCACAUUUUCCUAAUGUCAACAUUUUUAACACCCAGAACGUGCUAGGCAUUGUUGUAGAGGUAGCAAGUUUGUAUCUUUGUCAUCAAGGAGCUGGAGCAUCACAGAGGAGUCACAGCUAAACAGCUAUGGCUGGGCAGCAGGAUGAGCAAGGCAGUGAGUGUGUCAGGGAAGCCCUCUGGAAACACAACUGCUUUCUCAGCCAGCCAGCAUUUUCUGGGAACCUUCCAAGUAGCGGAUACUGUUCUAGAUACUUAAGGACCAAAAAAUCAAUACUAUGAUCCUUGUUCUCAAGAAGUCCAUAAUCUAAUAGGAAAAGGCAUCCAUGCAUUCAGAUAGCUACAAUGUGUUGUCAGAGCUAACCUAGAAGUCUGUUCACUCUAGGAGCAGCGGGGAAAGUGGGCCAGAGUCACCUGGCCAUGGGAAAUGUUUCAGGAGACGAACCUGAACUGAGUCUUGAUGCAAAUGAUCCCCAGAAGAGAAAUGAGAGGACGUCAGGGAAAGAGCUUUUAGGGUGGGGACAGAGGCCUGAAAGACCAGGUGGUGUCAUUUGGAGGGCUUGGUGCCAGGGCAGGGUCAUGGCCAUUGUAAUGGAUGGGAGGUAAAGAUGGCAAGAUGUGAGGGUCAGCUUGAGGGUGCCCACGCCACAGAGCUCUUUAUUUUAUCCUCCAGCAGUGGGAAACUGGGGAAGAUAUUUAAGCCCAUCCUUAGUUACAUUCAAAGGCAGGACAACCUUACAGUCUGUCUGAGCCUCCUGUCUGUGUUCAAAUUCUUGUAACAAGAAAAACUACCAUCUGGUUUUUUGGAAAACUAAAGGCUACAAAGAGAAGCCAAGAGUCGGCUGAUUAACAAUGCCCCAAGCAAAUUUCACGGUGCAUGAGACUCAUAAACAUCAACGUGUUGCUUCAGCUUGUUCUUGGCAUCACUAGACCUCAGGAAAACCACCCAGCAGACUCAUUGUCUUUUGUCCCUGCCUCUUCCACCUUAUUUCACACCCUGGUUUCUUCCUUUGCUUUGCUGCUGCUUUCCAGCCGAUUACAGGAAAUGUGCCCUGUUUCAUGUCUGGAAAGUCAAAAGGAAACCACCCAGUUUACCUAAAUGAACUCUGAGCCCCAUUCUCACUGCAAAGUUCUCCUCCUCCCUCUGCCUCUACCCCUUGUACUGGUGUGCUCAUUUGUGAGGUGUCAUUAUUCUCAGGGGUAUAUGAGAAUGUGCACAGGUUUUUAUCUGCCCAUCCCCCUCAAGCCUGCUUCCUGGGUAAGUCCAGGCUGCCUGCUUGGAGUCCUGCGGGCUGGGUAACCCAGGGCGAGAGAUGCACUGGAAGACGUAGCUUGGUUAGCCAAGUGUCCCCAUCAGACCUCUUGCUCUUUUUCUGUCCCCAGAGGAAAGGUGGAGCUUUCCGGCCUACAGAACUUAGUUUCAUUUUCCCGUUCUUUCUAAUGCUCUGUUCCUGCCCUACCCUCCUGGGUAGCUUGGGUCUUAGUGUUUCUUCUAGAAAGCACUCUGCAGAAUGUCUUUGUUCUCCAAACCAAGGGCUUUGAUACUACUGGGAAAACCACAGUCUUGAAAUGCUAGCAAGCACCCCUCUCCUCCAAUGGUGCCAUUGCUUAGUUAUUUUGCAACCCCUGCCUCAGCCUCUGGCAGGACCCUGUCUGUCAGGGCAGGGAGCCACAGCAUCUCUGACACCCACACUCCCCUGACCACACCCUGGGAGGCCCUGACUCUUCCCACCACUUUCAGAUACAGAGGAAGUGCCACAACUUGGAAUAUGAGACUGGCCCCUACCAUGGCUCUUCAGAGGGACCAGGUGACACAACCUGAAAGUGAGAGACAGUUUAUCCCCAUAGGGUGACAUUGGACCAAAUAGAGGGGGAAAAAAAAACCCCAAAGAAGCUGCCAAUAAACUCUAUGCCCUCCUUCCCUCCUGUGGAUGAUUCCUAGGCUCAGUGGUUUGGUUUGUCCUGCCAGGGAUGUCUCAUACCACCAAGCAUCCGGCUGUUUUGUCAUGAAGCUGUGACCAACUCGUUAACGAGUAUUCACUCUCCUUCCUCCCAGCCUGGAUUUUCCUUUCUCUUAUUUUUGCAACCCCGCCAUGGCACAUCCCGAAAAAGCAUUAGCAGAGAAAAAAGUAUCUGGGCUUGGCACUAGCAAAUGCACAUUCUCCCAGCAAAAUGCUGUAACUUUAGAAGGAAAAUUAGAUGAAGACCCCAGAGAGACUCUGGAGGACUAAAGAUAAAAGACAUGCUUUUGCAACGGCUUUUAUUUAUGGUAAGAAUAAUUAGAAUGAUAUUGUUUAGAAUUGUUCCAAUAAUAAAUACUUGUUCAAGCAUAAAGUUAAUACGUGUAUAUAUAUGUACUGUAUAUAAACAAGAGCAAUGUUGUAGUAUUGCUGUGGUCACUGCCCUUUGUGAGGCAGCUCAUAAAAUACACCUGUGUAUUUCAUUAUUUUAUUAUUCUUAAUAAUUAAAUUAUCCUUAAUAUAAAUAUGUUGCUUCUUGAAUUUCUUUUGGUGUGUUUUUAGUUUUUGAGAAUUUUGAAGGAUAAACCAUUGCCUCUGCACAGGGUGGGGCAAAUGGUGAGCAGUCUGUUUAUUCAGCAGACACCAAGUUCUGUCUGUUUUUCAGAACUUAGCUGGGAACUAGAGAAUCAGAAUGUAAAGACACAUACUCUUCCCUCAGUGAGCUGGCAGGGGACAAGAACCAGUGAACAAAUGUCUAAGAUGGACUGCAAUCAGUACUCUAUGCCCAGGACUCUAAUGGGCCCAAAAAGGGCAUGCAGUCCAGGUGGGGAAGCACGUAGUCAGGAAAGGCUGCCCCAGAGUAGGUGAUGUCUGAGCUGUAUGUUGAAGGACAAGUGGUGUAGAAAAACAACCUAUUGCACGGCCAGAGUGACACCAUCUUGAGGUGAAAUUGCCGUGAUGGCUAAUAUUUGACUCCUACCUAGCAAAGUUUUCUGCAGCAAGGUCUUUAAACAAUGUUAUAGCAUAGAUAGCCUGAAAAAGAUGCUUCCCUUACCUUCCCAAUAUCACAAGUUUCACAAGAAAAUCUUAAACAUGAUCACCUGCCCAUGUUUUACUCUAAAAGCUUGCUACAAGUGUAGGAAUCCACCGUCUCAUGGCCACCAGAGACCUUGUUUCUGUUCCUAAGUCCCUAGUAAAAGUUUUUUUCUAAGAAACUGGAUUUGUCAACUUCUUGCUUUGGCCUCUCAGUUCCCUUGGCCUUUGGAGUUAGGUUUGCAUAGACCUGCUCACCACAUGGAACAAGUGGGAAUUAGCCAAAGAAAGGGAGAAGGGUAUUCUGAGAGGCUAGAGAUAUGGGAGAGAGCAGGUCCAGGGAUUGGAACAGUUAAAAUGUUAUCAGUGCUGUCCAGAACUAUCUAUGAAAGUCUGACAUCUGUGAUGUCAAUAUGGCAGUUACUAGCCACAUGUGGCUGUUGAGCAAGUGAGUAAGUGAAAUUUUAAUUAUUUUAUUUUUAAAAUUUAAAUGUAAAUAGCCACAUGUGGCUAGUGGCUACUGUAAUGAACAGUGUAGCUCUACCUAGUUUUUUCAAAGUAGGUUUGGUUUUCAUUUGAAAAGUGGAAAGGAGUCAGUACACAAUGUUAAAACAGAGUAAUUAUAUGAGUGGAUUAGAAAGAAGGAUUACUUGCAAAUUUGAAAGCAGAGUACUUUGGACUGUUUUUAAGAUGCAUUCACUUUCCAUGACCUUCUUAGAGAAGAUUAAAAAAA